RNAcentral lists this ribosomal RNA (595 nucleotides) under Bradyrhizobium sp. RNAcentral's name for it is "bacterial SSU rRNA". It matches the Rfam family "Bacterial small subunit ribosomal RNA", at positions 929 to 1521 of the family's 1533-position model. Lineage: Bacteria; Pseudomonadati; Pseudomonadota; Alphaproteobacteria; Hyphomicrobiales; Nitrobacteraceae. The record is from RNAcentral.
GCGGUGGAGCAUGUGGUUUAAUUCGACGCAACGCGCAGAACCUUACCAGCCCUUGACAUGUCCAGGACCGGUCGCAGAGACGUGACCUUCUCUUCGGAGCCUGGAACACAGGUGCUGCAUGGCUGUCGUCAGCUCGUGUCGUGAGAUGUUGGGUUAAGUCCCGCAACGAGCGCAACCCCCGUCCUUAGUUGCUACCAUUUAGUUGAGCACUCUAAGGAGACUGCCGGUGAUAAGCCGCGAGGAAGGUGGGGAUGACGUCAAGUCCUCAUGGCCCUUACGGGCUGGGCUACACACGUGCUACAAUGGCGGUGACAGUGGGAUGCGAAGACGCAAGUCCUAGCAAAUCUCAAAAAGCCGUCUCAGUUCGGAUUGGGCUCUGCAACUCGAGCCCAUGAAGUUGGAAUCGCUAGUAAUCGUGGAUCAGCACGCCACGGUGAAUACGUUCCCGGGCCUUGUACACACCGCCCGUCACACCAUGGGAGUUGGCUUUACCUGAAGACGGUGCGCUAACCAGCAAUGGAGGCAGCCGGCCACGGUAGGGUCAGCGACUGGGGUGAAGUCGUAACAAGGUAGCCGUAGGGGAACCUGCGGCUGG